Molecule: long non-coding RNA, 390 nt
Organism: Nomia melanderi (Alkali bee)
Lineage: Eukaryota; Metazoa; Arthropoda; Insecta; Hymenoptera; Halictidae
Source: RefSeq, a predicted model, not a curated record
AAACGUCUUAACGCAAGAGCGGUGACAAUUUGACAGAGAAAUUCCAUAGUCACCUUUUCCUAUUUGUUUGUGAAUAUCAAGAAUUCAAAAAGGAAUGAUGACUCAAGCUAUUAAUAUCCUUUUCUUUGUACUCUCUGUCAUUUUACUCUCAGGCUUUUUGGUGACUCCCUCUGAGGGAGAUUCACCAAGAUGCGGAAAUGGCUUACCUGCACAGUUUUGCGGUUCACCUCUCAUGGAAGAAGUAUGCCCGGAAAUGUGUAGAAGACUAGGGCGAGGAAAGAAAUAAGAAUCAAGUGGGGUGUAAUGAAAAUAGGUUGAUCACUGAUCUUAUCUGAAUUCCUACUAAACAUGUAAAAAUGCGUUGGAAAAUAUAAAAUUUCUGAAUAAAUA